UACUCAUCUGCCAUUUCAUCCCUGAUAGGAACUUGGAUUUCAAGGCCGCCACGCGAAGAUUCAGCCGUUUUCCAUUCUUUGACAGCGGCACCGAUGUUUUGGAAAAUAGAGUGGCAAAUCGCCAAGCUGAAAUGCAAGUGGGCCCAUGAAAGAUUGCGAAAGCCACGUAUUCAUGCUUCCACAGCCCUAGUACCUGGCGUGAAGAUUGGUGGCCAGCAUUUAAUCCUGCUGCUUCUGGAUCCAACGGCUGA
RNAcentral lists this unclassified non-coding RNA (251 nucleotides) under Hevea brasiliensis (rubber tree). The record is from RNAcentral. Lineage: Eukaryota; Viridiplantae; Streptophyta; Magnoliopsida; Malpighiales; Euphorbiaceae.